Molecule: ribosomal RNA, 395 nt
Filed under: Trichoniscus aphonicus abchasicus
Lineage: Eukaryota; Metazoa; Arthropoda; Malacostraca; Isopoda; Trichoniscidae
Description: partial large subunit ribosomal RNA
Source: RNAcentral
UCUGAACUCAGAUCAUGUGGUCUGACUGUGCUAAGGUAGCAUAAUCACUCGUCUUUUCAUUGAAGUCUGGAAUAAACGGCUAGACGAAGGAAUUAUAUUUUUAAGAUAAUUAAAAUAAUUUUUUAAAAAAGUUAAAAAACUUUAAUUUCCUAGGGGGACGACAAGACCCUAAAAUCUGUCUUAUAUUAAAACUUAGAAAUAUUACUGCCAUAAGACUUACUGGGGCGGUAAAUUUUACAAACAACCUAAAUACAUGCGCCGUUAGCGAAUUAAUUUGACCUUCAAGUACAAAUAAAAAGAUACUUUAGGGAUAACAGCAUAAUUUUUCUAUAGAGUUCCUAUCGCUAGAAAAGAUUAUGACCUCGAUGUUGAAUUAAGGAAACUCGUAUAAGCAG